GGUCGGGUGGCGCAAUGGUAGCGUGUGGUCCUCCUAUUACAGCAGGUUCCAGACUGAGGUUGUGGGUUCGAGUCCCAUCUCGAUCG
Bombardia bombarda is the source of this 86-nucleotide non-coding RNA. Lineage: Eukaryota; Fungi; Ascomycota; Sordariomycetes; Sordariales; Lasiosphaeriaceae. The record is from the annotation of a GenBank genome assembly.